GGGGAGAUUCCAGAGCGGUCAAAUGGGGCAGACUGUAAAUCUGUUGGCGACGCCUUCGGAGGUUCGAAUCCUCCUCUCCCCA
Molecule: transfer RNA, 82 nt
Filed under: Lentimicrobiaceae bacterium
Lineage: Bacteria; Pseudomonadati; Bacteroidota; Bacteroidia; Bacteroidales; Lentimicrobiaceae
Description: tRNA-Tyr
Rfam family: tRNA
About the family: Transfer RNA (tRNA) molecules are approximately 80 nucleotides in length.
Source: RNAcentral